GGUGACAGGAUUGUUAAAGAAAUUGAAGCUCUCAGGAGAAAGGGAGCUGAACUGAUGCAGGAGAACUUGAACUUGAAAAAGCGAACAGAGAAUAAUCAUUUACGAGGCAAUACCUGCAAUGAGAGUUCUGAUACUUCCUUAAAGUUGGGGUU
Long non-coding RNA from Pistacia vera, 152 nucleotides. RefSeq lists it as uncharacterized. NCBI's taxonomy places the organism in Eukaryota, Viridiplantae, Streptophyta, Magnoliopsida, Sapindales, Anacardiaceae. The transcript has 3 exons. The record is from RefSeq and is a predicted model, not a curated record.